This 468-nucleotide ribosomal RNA is filed under the name uncultured bacterium. RNAcentral describes it as "partial 16S ribosomal RNA". It matches the Rfam family "Bacterial small subunit ribosomal RNA", at positions 28 to 507 of the family's 1533-position model. The record is from RNAcentral.
GACGAGCGCUGGCGGCGUGCUUAACACACGCAAGUCGAACGGAAAGGCCCUGCUUUUGUGGGGUGCUCGAGUGGCGAACGGGUGAGUAACACGUGAGUAACCUGCCCUUGACUUUGGGAUAACUUCAGGAAACUGGGGCUAAUACCGGAUAGGAGCUCCUGCUGCAUGGUGGGGGUUGGAAAGUUUCGGCGGUUGGGGAUGGACUCGCGGCUUAUCAGCUUGUUGGUGGGGUAGUGGCUUACCAAGGCUUUGACGGGUAGCCGGCCUGAGAGGGUGACCGGCCACAUUGGGACUGAGAUACGGCCCAGACUCCUACGGGAGGCAGCAGUGGGGAAUAUUGCACAAUGGGCGGAAGCCUGAUGCAGCAACGCCGCGUGCGGGAUGACGGCCUUCGGGCUGUAAACCGCUUUCGCCUGUGACGAAGCGUGAGUGACGGUAAUGGGUAAAGAAGCACCGGCUAACUACGUG